Molecule: ribosomal RNA, 660 nt
Filed under: uncultured bacterium
Lineage: Bacteria
Description: bacterial SSU rRNA
Rfam family: Bacterial small subunit ribosomal RNA
Source: RNAcentral
AGUGGCGGACGGGUGAGUAACGCGUGAGAAUCUGCCUUGGGGUCGGGGACAACCACUGGAAACGGUGGCUAAUACCGGAUACGCCUUCGGGUAAAAGAUUUAUUGCCCUAAGAGGAGCUCGCGUCUGAUUAGCUAGUUGGUGAGGUAAGAGCUCACCAAGGCAGCGAUCAGUAGCUGGUCUGAGAGGACGAUCAGCCACACUGGGACUGAGACACGGCCCAGACUCCUACGGGAGGCAGCAGUGGGGAAUUUUCCGCAAUGGGCGAAAGCCUGACGGAGCAAGACCGCGUGAGGGAGGAAGGCUCUUGGGUUGUAAACCUCUUUUCUCAGGGAAGAAACUCUGACGGUACCUGAGGAAUCAGCCUCGGCUAACUCCGUGCCAGCAGCCGCGGUAAUACGGAGGAGGCAAGCGUUAUCCGGAAUUAUUGGGCGUAAAGCGUCCGCAGGUGGCGAUUCAAGUCUGCUGUCAAAGCACGGGGCUUAACUCCGUAAAGGCAGUGGAAACUGAAUAGCUAGAGUGCCGUAGGGGUAGAGGGAAUUCCCGGUGUAGCGGUGAAAUGCGUAGAGAUCGGGAAGAACAUCGGUGGCGAAAGCGCUCUACUGGACGGCAACUGACACUCAGGGACGAAAGCUAGGGGAGCGAAUGGGAUUAGAUACCCC